Molecule: ribosomal RNA, 301 nt
Filed under: uncultured bacterium
Lineage: Bacteria
Description: partial 16S ribosomal RNA
Rfam family: Bacterial small subunit ribosomal RNA
Source: RNAcentral
CAGCAGCCGCGGUAAUACGGAGGGGGCAAGCGUUACUCGGAAUUACUGGGCGUAAAGCGUGCGUAGGUGGUGGUUUAAGUCCGUUGUGAAAGCCCUGUGCUCAACCUGGGAAUUGCAGCGGAUACUGGAUCACUAGAGUGUGGUAGAGGAUAGUGGAAUUUCCGGUGUAGCAGUGAAAUGCGUAGAGAUCGGAAGGAACAUCUGUGGCGAAGGCGACUAUCUGGGCCAACACUGACACUGAGGCACGAAAGCGUGGGGAGCAAACAGGAUUAGAUACCCCUGUAGUCCCUGUCUCUUAUAC